Molecule: ribosomal RNA, 206 nt
Filed under: uncultured bacterium
Lineage: Bacteria
Description: partial 16S ribosomal RNA
Rfam family: Bacterial small subunit ribosomal RNA
Source: RNAcentral
AGCGUAGGCGGUCAAGCAAGUCAGGGGUGAAAGGCAUCGGCUCAACCGAUGUAAGCCUUUGAAACUGUUUGACUUGAGUGCAGGAGAGGAAAGUGGAAUUCCUAGUGUAGCGGUGAAAUGCGUAGACAUUAGGAGGAACACCAGUGGCGAAGGCGACUUUCUGGACUGUAACUGACGCUGAGGCUCGAAAGCGUGGGGAGCGAACA